CCGCUGAACUAAGCAUAUCAAUAAGCGGAGGAAAAGAAACCAACAGGGAUUGCCUCAGUAACGGCGAGUGAAGCGGCAACAGCUCAAAUUUGAAAUCUGGUUCCUCUGGAGCCCGAGUUGUAAUUUGUAGAGGAUGUCUUCGGGUUUGGCCCCGGCCUAAGUUCCUUGGAACAGGACGUCAUAGAGGGUGAGAAUCCCGUAUGUGGCUGGAGGUCUAUGCCCAUGUGAAGCUCCUUCGACGAGUCGAGUUGUUUGGGAAUGCAGCUCAAAAUGGGUGGUAAGUUUCAUCUAAAGCUAAAUACCGGCGGGAGACCGAUAGCGCACAAGUAGAGUGAUCGAAAGAUGAAAAGCACUUUGGAAAGAGAGUUAAAAAGUACGUGAAAUUGUUGAAAGGGAAGCGCUUGCGACCAGACUUGCCCUCAGUUGAUCAACCGGUGUUCUUCACCAGUGCACUCGGCUGAGGUCAGGCCAGCAUCGGUUUAGACGGUUGGAGAAAGACCAUAGGAAUGUGGCUCCCUUCGGGGAGUGUUAUAGCCUGUGGUGCCAUGCAGCCAGUUUAGACCGAGGACCGCGCCUUGUGCUAGGAUGCUGGCGUAAUGGUUGUAAGCGACCCGUCUUGAAACACGGACCAAGGAGUCUAACAUCUAUGCGAGUGUUUGGGUGUCAAACCCAUGCGCGUAAUGAAAGUGAACGGAGGUGGGAACCCUUAAGGGUGCACCAUCGACCGAUCCUGAUGUCUUCGGAUGGAUUUGAGUAAGAGCAUAGCUGUUGGGACCCGAAAGAUGGUGAACUAUGCCUGAAUAGGGUGAAGCCAGAGGAAACUCUGGUGGAGGCUCGCAGCGGUUCUGACGUGCAAAUCGAUCGUCAAAUUUGGGUAUAGGGGCGAAAGACUAAUCGAACC
This 901-nucleotide ribosomal RNA is filed under the name Geoglossum laurisilvae. RNAcentral's name for it is "Geoglossum sp. SA-2022a partial large subunit ribosomal RNA". It matches the Rfam family "Eukaryotic large subunit ribosomal RNA", at positions 25 to 941 of the family's 3401-position model. Lineage: Eukaryota; Fungi; Ascomycota; Geoglossomycetes; Geoglossales; Geoglossaceae. The record is from RNAcentral.